GUGCUUCGUUAGAAAUGGUGGCAAAAAGGAAAACAUUCUGUGACCGCCAUAUGUAUUAAAUCUUAAUGUAAAAGCCUGAAUUGGCAGGUCGUGCAGCUUAAAACCCAGUUUUUUUUUGCCCUGCAGCCGCAGACAAUAUGGCGGAAAUAACCUUGAUGAGUCUAUUCACAACUGCUCUAACUCUUAGCACGCUUGAAGCUGCUGGCAGGAGCAAAUUAAUGCUGUAUCAAAUACACGCGCAAAAACAUAUGUUGUCGCAACAUUGUUACUGUAACAGUAGUGACGCCUAACACUUAAUGCACAAUUGUUCACGACAAUGUUCACAAUAUUAUUCAUUUGAAAAAAGCCCAGAAAGCCUCUAUGGAGUAGACAAAUUUAGUUUAAACAGCCGAUGUUUUUCUUCAACAUGUGAUAAAUGGACUUGCGAUGCCAGCACUUCCCUUGCGAUAGUAACUUCUAGUAUAUAAUUUAAACAUAUAACUAAGAUCUCCGGUUUAUUGAGAUGGAAUCGGGCACACUAUGCCGUGUGGGUCAACCCCGUCUAGUCUAAUCAGUUCAGCAUGCGAAGGGAUUGUAUAAGAUUCGCUAUCUUAAUUGGGAAAACUGAGAGUUCAAUGCAAUUUAAUUCCUCAAGGGGAUCUUAUAGCUUGAGAUGAUUUUUUCCAAAAUUAAUAAUAUUUAUAUGAUUAGGCUAUAUCCACUUCAUGACGGAGUAAAUAGGCCUUUUAACCUAACGAUAUUGUUGUAAUGUGAUAGAAUAGUAUACAAAAUUAAACCAAUCUCAUAUGACUGAAAUUUUCAGGGAUUGAUCUAUGCGAUAUACCAAAUGCUGAAGAUAUCUUUGUACUCGUCAAAAUACUCCAGUGCAAAAUACAAAGCGCGCACUAUAUCGGAAAAUAUCUUAUAAUAGAGAACGGAUCUAUCGUUUUAAACCCAUCUGCAGAUAAUGCAACAUUUACGCUACGAGAAUACACCGAGCCAUGUUCGUCAACAAAUCCUUUAAUCGUAACAUUACAGCACAGUGCCAAUGCCAGUGACACUGGUGCUGGAAAAUAUAUUUUGAAGAGCGGCCCAAGCACUCUCAGUACUUCAUCUACGCAUCCACACAACACAUCACCACCAAGUCACCCAGGGGUCACGACCAUAAGCAGAAGCAGCAGUUACCUUUUUAACCUUGCUAUUAUUCAGUGCACCAGCUGCAGUACGCCAUCAAAUACUGUAUACCAGUUCCAAUCAUUGUCCCAACCGCCGAACAGCACCACUGCAAUUGGUUUUGUAGGUACUGAUAGUAUUGCCUCGUUGAUGUCUCCCGCAGCGUGCGAAACACAUUUCUGGGUAUUUUAACACUGUUACUUGAAAUUGUGUCAAAAUACGACAUAUUUUUUUUGCUAAUAAACCGAUCUAUAAAGUAUUAAUAAUAAUACUAAAAGAACUCAAACGCAUUCUGUAUAAAAUCUGCAAUGAAAUUUCUAUUGAUAUCGCAAAAGACAUUAGACACGCCUGUUAAUUA
Long non-coding RNA from Dendronephthya gigantea, 1510 nucleotides. RefSeq lists it as uncharacterized. The record is from RefSeq and is a predicted model, not a curated record. The transcript is spliced from 3 exons. Lineage: Eukaryota; Metazoa; Cnidaria; Anthozoa; Malacalcyonacea; Nephtheidae.